UAGUCCACGCCGUAAACGAUGAUCACUAGAUGUGGGUUCUGUUUAACAGAAUCUGUGUCGUAGCUAACGCGUUAAGUGAUCCGCCUGGGGAGUACGGUCGCAAGAUUAAAACUCAAAGGAAUUGGCGGGGGUCCGCACAAGCGGUGGAACAUGUGGUUUAAUUCGACACUACGCGAGGAACCUUACCUAGAUUUGACAUGUGCUUGCCCGCUGUAGAGAUACAGUUUUUCAAGUUUACUUGAACAGGUACACAGGUGCUGCAUGGCUGUCGUCAGCUCGUGUCGUGAGAUGUUGGGUUAAGUCCUUUAACGAGCGCAACCCUUGCCGUCAGUUGCAACUUCUUUUAUUAGGAGGCACUCUGGCGGGACUGCCUAGGAAACUAGGAGGAAGGUGGGGAUGACGUCAAGUCCUCAUGGCCUUUAUGUCUAGGGCUACACACGUGUUACAAUGGCUAGUACAGAGGGCAGCAAACCCGCGAGGGGGAGCGAAAUCUCACAAAGCUAGUCU
RNAcentral lists this ribosomal RNA (507 nucleotides) under uncultured bacterium. RNAcentral describes it as "bacterial SSU rRNA". It matches the Rfam family "Bacterial small subunit ribosomal RNA", at positions 791 to 1288 of the family's 1533-position model. The record is from RNAcentral.